CCCUUAGAUGUUCUGGGCCGCACGCGCGCUACACUGACGGAGGCAGCGAGCGUGUCCUUCGCCGGCAGGUGCGGGCAAUCUUGCGAGUCUCCGUCGUGCUGGGGAUAGAUGGUUGCAAUUGUCGAUCUUGAACGAGGAAUUCCUAGUAAGCGCGAGUCAUCAGCUCGCGCUGAUUACGUCCCUGCCCUUUGUAUACACCGCCCGUCGCUACUACAGAGUGCCCGUGUCCAAGAAACGGUUGGACCUGUGCGGCCUCUCCGGGCGACCGGAGGGCCGUUACGGGAAAGACCCUUUAUUUGACGCGGGUCGAUGAAGUAAAAGUCGUAACA
Molecule: ribosomal RNA, 329 nt
Filed under: uncultured eukaryote
Lineage: Eukaryota
Description: partial 18S ribosomal RNA
Rfam family: Eukaryotic small subunit ribosomal RNA
Source: RNAcentral